Molecule: ribosomal RNA, 365 nt
Filed under: uncultured Methanomicrobiales archaeon
Lineage: Archaea; Methanobacteriati; Methanobacteriota; Methanomicrobia; Methanomicrobiales
Description: bacterial SSU rRNA
Rfam family: Archaeal small subunit ribosomal RNA
Source: RNAcentral
CUAGCUGAGAGGAGGUGCAUGGCCGUCGUCAGUUCGUACUGUGAAGCAUCCUGUUAAGUCAGGCAACGAGCGAGACCCACGCCAACAGUUGCCAGCUCGUCCUCCCGGGGAUGGUGGGGACACUGUUGGGACCGCCUCUGCUAAAGAGGAGGAAGGAAUGGGCAACGGUAGGUCAGCAUGCCCCGAAUUAUCUGGGCUACACGCGGGCUACAAUGGGUGGGACAAUGGGUAUCGACACCGAAAGGUGAAGGCAAUCUCCUAAACCCAUCCGUAGUUCGGAUUGUGGGCUGCAACUCGCCCACAUGAAGCUGGAAUCUGUAGUAAUCGUGUCUCAAAAUGGCACGGUGAAUAUGUCCCUGCUCCUU